RNAcentral lists this ribosomal RNA (253 nucleotides) under uncultured prokaryote. RNAcentral describes it as "partial 16S ribosomal RNA". It matches the Rfam family "Bacterial small subunit ribosomal RNA", at positions 524 to 776 of the family's 1533-position model. The record is from RNAcentral.
UACAGAGGGUGCGAGCGUUAAUCGGAAUUACUGGGCGUAAAGGGCGCGUAGGUGGUUUGUUAAGAUUGAUGUGAAAUCCCUGGGCUUAACCUAGGAACUGCAUCGAUGACUGACAGGCUUGAGUACUGUAGAGGGUAGUGGAAUUUCCGGUGUAGCGGUGAAAUGCGUAGAGAUGUGGAGGAACACCGAUGGCGAAGGCAGCCCCCUGGGCUAACACUGACGCUCAUGCACGAAAGCGUGGGGAGCAAACAGG